GUCCACGCUGUAAACGAUGUGCACUAGGCGUGGGGCCCGUACGGGUUCUGUGCCGUAGUUAACGUGAUAAGUGCACCGCCUGGGGAGUAUGCUCGCAAGGGUGAAACUCAAAGGAAUUGACGGGGGCCCGCACAAGCGGUGGAGCAUGUGGUUUAAUUCGAUGGUACACGAGGAACCUUACCAGGGCUUGACAUGUGCGUGAAUGUUCACGAGAGUGGGCAGCCCCGCAAGGGGCGCUCACACAGGUGCUGCAUGGCUGUCGU
This 263-nucleotide ribosomal RNA is filed under the name uncultured bacterium. Its description in RNAcentral is "partial 16S ribosomal RNA". It matches the Rfam family "Bacterial small subunit ribosomal RNA", at positions 793 to 1055 of the family's 1533-position model. The record is from RNAcentral.